RNAcentral lists this ribosomal RNA (258 nucleotides) under uncultured bacterium. RNAcentral's name for it is "partial small subunit ribosomal RNA". It matches the Rfam family "Bacterial small subunit ribosomal RNA", at positions 26 to 285 of the family's 1533-position model. The record is from RNAcentral.
AGGACGAACGCUGGCGGCGUGCUUAACACAUGCAAGUCGAGCGAGGCCCUUCCUUCGGGAAGGUGCCCUAGCGGCGAACGGGUGAGUAACACGUGGGCAACCUGCCCCUAGCACUGGGAUAACUCCGGGAAACCGGGGCUAAUACCGGAUAUGACCUUUGAAGGCAUCUUCGAAGGUGUAAAGGAUUCUGGCUAGGGAUGGGCCCGCGGCCUAUCAGCUUGUUGGUGGGGUAAUGGCCUACCAAGGCGACGACGGGUA